This is a long non-coding RNA of Betta splendens (Siamese fighting fish), 3365 nucleotides long. RefSeq lists it as uncharacterized. NCBI's taxonomy places the organism in Eukaryota, Metazoa, Chordata, Actinopteri, Anabantiformes, Osphronemidae. The record is from RefSeq and is a predicted model, not a curated record. The transcript has 4 exons.
UCACACACACCUACGGGCAAUGGAGAGAAGCCAAUCAACCUAAUGCACGUCUUUGGACUGUGGGAGGAAGCUGGAGAGAACGGUGCUACCCACCGCACCACCGUGCCGUUAAGUUAUUAAUUAUAAAAGUUUUACAGUAUGAAAUGGUGGCGACAGUUUUUCUAUAUAUGCAAUAUUUUGUUUCGUAGUUUUCCAUAUUUUGAACAGACCAGACGUGUCGCUAUGAAAAGAGGAAGUCGCGAAGAGCGUGUUUUGUGCUCUGCUGUAAAGCGCGUAAUACGGGCGCAAGACGUUUUUGAAGCGCGGCUGGCUGAACGACGGAUGAACAAACGACGGCUCACUUGACUGCAGUUGUCAGCACCUAAGUAAACAGUGGGUGAAGCGAAUCAGAGUCAGAGCGGUGCAGGUCUCAGCUGACGGUUGAAAGUGAAUGCUACGAACUAAAUAAACAAUCACGUGAUUCUGCACUGAAAUCCAAGCCUCUCUAACAACUGCAUUACAUAUCAGGCUGUUUAAAAGCAUUGGUAAAGUAAACGUGCUUACCUAAAGCAAAGACGUUUUUAUUGUGGUCUGAUAAACGAUCACACAGAGUCGCAAGGGCAGCAUUAUUAGAACAUACCCACCUUAACUCCAGCUGUUUUAUAACAUAGCAUGGCAUUGCUAAUAGUCUGUCGGCUAACAUGCUACAUGAACGUCUGAUAAAAACACACCAGUUUCACGUUCGCGCAACUGCAUCACCUCCGCAAUUCACGAGAGUAACGCCACACUUCAUACACAAGGAAAAUAUGAGCAGUCAUGUCUUUCUGAUCAUUAAAUAUUAUUAAAGUCAUCAGUCAGUGGACUAGCUUGUUGCUAUGUACUGCUUGUGGAGCUUUCGGGAUUUGCUGUGCCACGUCAAAAGACUGCGACAACUUCCUUGUUCAUUAGCCAAUCAGAGCGUGGAGGCAAAGUAAGGUGACGUUAUUUUACUUGUAAAUUUAGCCACGAUUUGUUUUUGAAUUUUAAUGCUCCAAAUUAUAAGUGUAAGCAUUGUACGAAUCUGAUUACACCCGCACAGAUCGGUUUACGCACACUCAGAUUUGAUUACACACUCACAGAUCGGUUUAUGCAUGCACAGACUUGAUUACUCACGCAAGCACGUGGUUACGCACGCACAGAAUUGUAUACGCAAGCACGAAUCUAAUCUGACUCUACUUUGACUCCAUAGAAGAAAGAUAGAACUUAAGUGUUUCUGCUCCACUUUGUCUUCCAGCUGCCAGGUGGCGCUGUUUUAUCCAGUGUUUGCCCUGUUUGUUCAUUUGUAGUGUCUUUCCACGUUUGGAUUCUGGAUCUGGAUUUCCACGUUUGGUUCUUGUUUGUAAUGGCGGUAACUUGUUUUACAUGUGGGAUUAGUUUGGUAAGUUAAUUUGAUUCAUGUUUACUUAUUGUCAGUUUCUAUGUCAAUUUUAAUGACAGUGUUAGUUGCAAUAUUGGUGAUGCUAUAUUUUACUGACCAAAAUGUUAUGUUUACAUUUUUUAUUUUCAUAUUUAUUUUGUCUGUAUUUAUUUAAGGUUCAAUGCUGGUCCGGAACAAAGUUUUAUCUGUUCUGUCCGAACAUAUUUUAUUAGUGCACAAAGGAAAGCAAACAUGUGAAAGAAAGCGGCAGUUUAAGAAAAGAUGCUAAACUUUCACAGUGUUUGUUUGUUUGUUUUGAUUUGAUUUAUUUGACGUUUCCAUUCCCUCUUCCUCUGUGUGUGCAGCCAGUGAGGUAUGACGUUUGUUUUCUGUCGUUCAUUCAUUUAUGUACUCGUGUUUUUUUUCUUUAUGGCACAUGCUUAGUGUGUUACGUAUAUCUUGUGAUUUGAUGGUGGACAUUGGUGGAUUUCGGGCAAUACCAUAAGAAAAUAAGGAGAAACAAGCACGGCUCAUCAGCCCGGCCUGCCUGCUGGGGUCACAGCUCGUAUCAGAAAGCAUCUAGCGCUGUAUUGGAUAUUGUUCGGUAUUGCGUCAUGGACAAUAAAUUCUAAAUCUUUUUAACCAUAAAGACUGUCAUUGGAUUUGUUUAUCAGGUGAAGUUAAACAAAAGUCAAUAAGUGUGUGGACAACACAUAAAAACUUAAAACCUAGCAAGAUAAGUGGCUUUUAAGGUUAUGGAUGUGGUAAACGAACACUAUAAUAUUUGACCUUGUGACCAGAGUUAUGUGCACUGGACAUUAUAGAAGUUAUGGAAGGUCAUUCUUGGGUCAUCCCCCUAAAUGAACCACUGUGCCUCCGAUUAGUACAGUAUUUACCUUUUUCCUUUCUUACUUUCAUUUAGGCAUCAUGGAGGCCCCAUGUAUGUAGCAUGCUGUAGGAGUCUUGUUGGGUGCAGGUCACACACAAUGAAGCCAUACUUCUUCUAUUGACCCCUGUGAACUGGGGCCCGUUUCAAGAAGGAGGUUUAACAAACUCUGAGUUAAAACGAAACUCUGAGUUGAUCUACUCUGAGUUUGCAAACCUGGAGUUUUCGGUUCCAGAACAGCUGAAAAGAGUUGGUUUAAGCAAUUCUGAGCUGAUUGACUCAGAGUUAAGCGCGUGCACCGCGACGAUACAAAGCCCUGAUCAAUGGAGUGAAGAUAUUACGAGUCACCAUGGCAACAGGACAACAAAAGACGUCCGGAAAUGGAUAUGAUACGUCAAGCAAAUAGCGACUACGAGUCUAUAAUCCGUAGAAAAAGCAACACGGCUGCAGCGGCGAAAGAGAAAGAAUUAGCUUAGAAGAAAAUAGCUGCUCGAGUCAAUGCCCAACAGAAAGAAGGCAGAGGCUAAAACAACUGGUGGAGGACCUGCACCUCCACCAUUGACGCAUGCAGAGGAGAAGGCCCUCAGCCUGAACACUGGAGAGAGGCUGAGGCUGAAGAAAUUCAUCAGAACCCGUCACUCCCCAGGAUACAAGUGCAUGUGUAAAAUAUUCUGAUGGUAAUAUGUGAAUCUUCCUGUCACAACAGAAGCCCAGGAUGUUAGUGUGGAAGAACAGCAGGAGGAGGUCCGUCACAUUCUGCUGCACAGAUGCACACAGUUCAGUGAUGUUCAGUAAAUGCCAGAGUUCAAUUCUGUAAGAGUAAUGAGGAACAUGUCAUUUCAAGAUGUCAUGUAACUCUAAAUCUUCUGUAUUUUAAGUUACCGGUUAUUGAGUUGUUUAAACUAAAUCUCAAGGAAAUGUUAUACUUGUACCACAAAAUUGAAAAGCCAGAUCUAGAAAUUGAAAUUUCCAAACACAAGCUAGAGAUGAGUGUAUAGUUAAAGGUGAAUUGUAUGAAUUAUUGGAAGAAUUAUAAAAUCUAACAAUUGCCUUUGUAUUUGUAGGAAAUGAAAAAAAAAACAAAUAAAUUAUGAUUUACAUCUA